This 953-nucleotide long non-coding RNA is filed under the name Olea europaea subsp. europaea. The record is from RNAcentral. Lineage: Eukaryota; Viridiplantae; Streptophyta; Magnoliopsida; Lamiales; Oleaceae.
CUUAUCACUAUGAAUUAAUUCUUAAACCCUUCAUUUUCCUUCCUAACUUUCACCCACUUUGAAUCAAAUCCCCUUUAUUCUUCUCAUGGGGUGGUUUCAUAUUCAUUCCAUUUUUUCCCCAUUGAAGAAACUCUGGCGCCGGCUCCGUGCUACCAAAAGAAACAGUAUUUUUUGAUCUAUUUCUAUCUUCUUAAUUCUACUUUUAAUUGUGUGUGUUCAUUUUUCUCAUGGUUGCUUCUUCAAUUCAUACUGUUUAUCUUUUAAGCAUGUGUUUGAUACGGUAUUAGAGGUGUAAAAUGUUCUAAACAAGCUUGUCUGUAUGGAUCUAGUUUGUACUUGUUCAUUUGUGUUCAGUCGAACAUACCAAUAUUGCCAUGAAUAUUAGAGUCCAAUUGAUUGCCAUUAUUUCAUAAUAUUGUAUAAAGUAUCUGUCUAAUUAAUUUAUUAUUAUUAUUAUUAUUAUUAUUAUUAUUAUUAUUAUUAUUAUUAUUAUUAUUAUUUAUUUUUUUAUUUUUUUUGUGUUCAGGUGGGGGAAUAUACCUACUGUAUGAAGAUGUGAAGUCAUGUUCUUGUGAAGACGUUCAAGCUUUAUGGACACUGCUGGUGGAUUCAGAUGCAAAGUUUGCAUAAAUUCACGAAUAUAUGGCCAUUGUCAAAAUGCCAAUACUAAAUAAGGAGAAUCAAUGAGAAUGUUUUCUUCACGUUUUAUAUUUUCUUUUUUAUUGUUUUUUAAUUAUUUUCAAGUACAUAUUGAAAUGGUGUAACGUGAUCAUACUCAACUAGACUGAUUAGUAUUUUUAGGAGUAAUGCUAUUUAAUCUCAUUGAAAUUGCAAUCCCAUUUUAAAUAGUGCUAAUGUAGCAUUAGUUGAUAGGUGAAAUUGAAUAAUUCAUUUAAUUUCAUAUUUCAUUUUAUAUAUAAUCUAAUGCCACCUAGAUCAGGAUUGCAACCCCG